Molecule: unclassified non-coding RNA, 201 nt
Filed under: fungal sp.
Lineage: Eukaryota; Fungi
Description: partial internal transcribed spacer region
Rfam family: Eukaryotic small subunit ribosomal RNA (bases 1-46)
Source: RNAcentral
AAGUCGUAACAAGGUUUCCGUAGGUGAACCUGCGGAAGGAUCAUUACCAAAUAAAGUGACCCUGUUUUUCGAACGGGUGUCUUAUCUUUAACUUCACUUGUGCACAACCCUUUUUUAUUUACACUAUUAUCACUGUUACGGGAUGUUAUAUGAUUACAAAAACAAAAAGAGAAACUUUCAACAACGGAUCUCUUGGCUCUC